This 253-nucleotide ribosomal RNA is filed under the name uncultured bacterium. RNAcentral describes it as "partial 16S ribosomal RNA". It matches the Rfam family "Bacterial small subunit ribosomal RNA", at positions 524 to 776 of the family's 1533-position model. The record is from RNAcentral.
UACGUAGGGUCCGAGCGUUGUCCGGAAUUAUUGGGCGUAAAGGGCUCGUAGGCGGUUUGUCACGUCGGGAGUGAAAACUCAGGGCUCAACCCUGAGCGUGCUUCCGAUACGGGCAAACUAGAGGUAUGCAGGGGAGAAUGGAAUUCCUGGUGUAGCGGUGGAAUGCGCAGAUAUCGGGAGGAACACCGGUGGCGAAGGCGGUUCUCUGGGCAUUACCUGACGCUGAGGAGCGAAAGCAUGGGGAGCGAACAGG